AUGCAUCGUCGGUUUCUGAACGUGAUAGCGCAGGACCUGAAGAACACCCGCGUCAACUCGCUCUACCUCAUCGACCCCUGGAAGCACCUCUUCCACCAGCCAUCAACAUCAGAUAAAACUAAAAGAGAAGCAGCAAAAGACGCACAACCGGCGAAGGAAAACCGAGGAGCGUCGAUGAGUCGCCUGAGGUUGCAUAAGCCCAAGUUCAGGUUCGAACCUAAUCUCCACGCCAAGCCGACGCAUUCCUUCUCGGCUCUGCUGAGAGAGAACAGCCUCCUGCUGGCGGCCAAUACCAACAGCCCAUUCCUCUACGACGUCGACCUCAACUCGGUCCAACCCAUUCACCCCAUGCAUCCUCUCAGGGGCGCCAACUGCGUCUGCUUCCCCGCGCCACCCCAAGCCGACCACGGCGGUCACCGGCCGUCACUACUUGGGCUGUCGACCCUGCCUCUAUGUCCUCGACCUGUCGCCGCCGUCGGUUUCUCUUUCGAGCCGAUGAUGAUGAUGCAUGUGGAAGAACGAAGAAGAGCCGUCGACGUCGACAUCGACAUCGACACGUGUUCCUCCAUGAUCGUCGAUGGCACGACCAUAUGCAUAUCCUUCGACGGCGUCGGCACCUACGCCUUCGACACGGCGACGGGGGUAUGGACUCGUGCCGGCGACUGGGCGCUGCCCUUCCACGGCAGAGCGGAGCAUGUUCCCGAGCUGGGCCUCUCUUUCGCUCUAUCGGCUGACAGCCCCCACCGCCUGUGUGCUCUGGACUGCACUACGAUGCGCUCUGCCCAUGGCGGGCCGCUUGCAUUGCGGCAUACUUUUGAUCGUCUCGACCUGCCGGAGGAGAAGUGGUCACCGUACAAGCGCCAACUGGUGAGCCUGGGCGCAGGCAGCUUUUGCAUCGUUUCCUUCUGUAAGGCCAUGAAGCGCGAGUUCGUCGUCCUCACCGGCGUGGAGGUGAAGCCCUGCAACAAUGGUGAUGGCCCUCUCCGGAUGAUCAAGCACCUGUCUAAACGCUGCAGCCUUGGGUCUCAUAGGAUCAACUGGCCGUUCUAUAAAAGCCAUUCUUGUGUUCCUUUGAUACACACAGAGGUUGCAGAGCGCGCAGACAGAGAUCGAGCAAACAUGAAGAACACACCAACCAUCUUCACCCUCGCCGUCUCUCUCGGGGCAAUCGCCCUGCUUUCCGGCAGCACCGACGCCACCACAUGCGCCGGCGACCCGUCCAUGUCCGUUGCCGACGCGUGCCACAAGACGAGCGCCUGGCAGGGCCAGCGCGAGCUGGAGCUCUGCCGGCAGACGCUGCGCGGCGCACGGGACGGCCUCACGGCCAGCGCCUACGGCAUCAUCGCCGUGAGGGCCGCCCUUGAGUCGUCCGAGGCCACCGAGGGCGCCGGCAAGAAGCUGGCGCAGGACCCGAAGAUCUCCGAGGACGUGCGGGCGGUGUACCAAACCUGCGUGGACAUGUACGGCUUCGCGCGCGCCGACGUCGCCGCCAUGGAAGGCGCGCUGAAGGCCUGCUCGCUCGCCGACUUCCGGCGCUUCUGGGAGGGCGCACUCGCCUCGGUGGAUUACUGCGCGCGGAAGCUGCGGCUCGUCGACGGCGACGUGCUCCGCCGCACGGUGGAGGCGGACAGGGAGAGGAUCUUGCUCGCUUUCAUCCUGGGAGGGCUUUCUUUUCCGAAAUGA
Molecule: ribosomal RNA, 1683 nt
Filed under: Triticum aestivum (bread wheat)
Lineage: Eukaryota; Viridiplantae; Streptophyta; Magnoliopsida; Poales; Poaceae
Description: partial small subunit ribosomal RNA
Source: RNAcentral